Molecule: unclassified non-coding RNA, 154 nt
Filed under: uncultured fungus
Lineage: Eukaryota; Fungi
Also listed under: 3 other names
Description: sequence contains ITS2
Source: RNAcentral
ACACCCUCAAGCUCUGCUUGGUGUUGGGCGUCUGUCCCGCCUCGGCGCGCGGACUCGCCCCAAAUUCAUUGGCAGCGGUCUUUGCCUCCUCUCGCGCAGCACAUUGCGCUUCUCGAGGUGCUUGCGAGGCCCGCGUCCACGAAGCAUUACCAGU